This 492-nucleotide ribosomal RNA is filed under the name uncultured bacterium. Its description in RNAcentral is "partial 16S ribosomal RNA". It matches the Rfam family "Bacterial small subunit ribosomal RNA", at positions 29 to 507 of the family's 1533-position model. The record is from RNAcentral.
AGUGAACGCUGGCGGUAGGCCUAACACAUGCAAGUCGAACGGCAGCACAGUAAGAGCUUGCUCUUACGGGUGGCGAGUGGCGGACGGGUGAGGAAUACAUCGGAAUCUACUUUUUCGUGGGGGAUAACGUAGGGAAACUUACGCUAAUACCGCAUACGACCUACGGGUGAAAGCAGGGGAUCUUCGGACCUUGCGCGAUUGAAUGAGCCGAUGUCGGAUUAGCUAGUUGGCGGGGUAAAGGCCGACCAAGGCGACGAUCCGUAGCUGGUCUGAGAGGAUGAUCAGCCACAAUGGAACUGAGACACGGUCCAGAAUCCUACGGGAGGAAGCAGUGGGGAAUAUUGGACAAUGGGCGCAAGCAGGAUCCAGCAAUACCGCGUGGGUGAAGAAGGCCGUCGGGUUGUAAAGCCCUUUUGUUGGGAAAGAAAAGCAGCAGGUUAAUACCCCGCUGUUCUGACGGUACCCAAAGAAUAAGCACCGGCUAACUUCGUG